GAGGGUAUAGCUCAGUGGUUAGAGUAUGUGCUCGGCAUGCAGGAGGUCCUGGGUUCAAUCCCCAGUACCGCCG
Molecule: transfer RNA, 73 nt
Organism: Camelus ferus (Wild Bactrian camel)
Lineage: Eukaryota; Metazoa; Chordata; Mammalia; Artiodactyla; Camelidae
Rfam family: tRNA
About the family: Transfer RNA (tRNA) molecules are approximately 80 nucleotides in length. Their secondary structure includes four short double-helical elements and three loops (D, anti-codon, and T loops).
Source: Rfam